GAUGAACGCUGGCGGCGUGCCUAAUACAUGCAAGUCGAGCGGACAGACGAGGCGCUUGCUCCUCUGACGUUAGCGGCGGACGGGUGAGUAACACGUGGAUAACCUACCUAUAAGACUGGGAUCACUUCGGGAAACCGGAGAUAAUACCGGAUAAUCUAUUGAACCGCAUGGUUCAAUAGUGAAAGACGGUUUUGCUGUCACUUAUAGAUGGAUCCGCGCCGCAUUAGCUAGUUGGUAAGGUACCGGCUUACCAAGGCAACGAUGCGUAGCCGACCUGAGAGGGGGAUAGGCCACAUGGGAGCGGAGACACGGUCCAGACUCCUACGAGAGGCAGCAGUAGGGAAUCUGCCGCAGUGGGCGAAAGCCUGACGGAGCAACGCCGCGUGAGUGAUAGAGGUCUUCGGAUCGUAAAACUCUGUUAUUAGGGAAGAACAAAUUUGUAAGUAACUAUGCACGUCUUGACGGUACCUAAUCAGAAAGCCACGGCUAACUACGUG
This 497-nucleotide ribosomal RNA is filed under the name uncultured bacterium. Its description in RNAcentral is "partial 16S ribosomal RNA". It matches the Rfam family "Bacterial small subunit ribosomal RNA", at positions 28 to 507 of the family's 1533-position model. The record is from RNAcentral.